Paramisgurnus dabryanus is the source of this 4631-nucleotide non-coding RNA. The record is from RefSeq and is a predicted model, not a curated record. Lineage: Eukaryota; Metazoa; Chordata; Actinopteri; Cypriniformes; Cobitidae.
UGGUAGCUUUAGCGUAGCGUAGCGUAAGUUCUACCAGGAAACUCGAAUGUUACGUCAUUCAUGUCACAAGGCGCAAUCAAUCACCCCUGAUACUGAGAGUAUAUAAGCCUCGUACUCACCUGUCUUUGCGUUCGCAGAUACUGAUGCCAGCAUUAACAAGCUCGAUGUUCAGUGCAUAUGUACACUAAAGUGUUAGUUACCUGUUGUAACACGCCGAUUCAAAUGUUGAGUGAUUUUAUCGUGCAUUCGAACUGUUUUCCUGGGAUUUCUCAUCUCGUUUCGUUUCACCUGCACCAUCGCGAGGAGCUCUCAAAGAAGGUUAAAGACUUAAAAAGGAAGUCUGCAAGCUUCCUUAAAAGUGUGUAACCCUGCAGUACACAGGGAAGGAUACCACAGGCCGUUUCUUUUUAUGAACAGUGCAAGAACAUUUGGAUGAUCUGUAAAGUGUAUCCAUAAUAUUGACUGCCGCACACUCUGAACGCCCGCAGCAGAUGUCACUAAUCAUCAUUGAUUGGCGAAGCGCUGCACCUGCACGGGUUUGGAAGAAUGCCGAAGAUUGAUAUCUUCCUCAUCACAGGAUCUUUGUUUUUUAUCCACAAUACCAAAUGCUCCGCUUAUUAUUGGUUUUAAACCGUACGCGAAUGUUUUGUGAAGCAAUGAAAUCGACUCGGAUUAGUGAUAGGUCGUUCGCGAACGCCGGCUCUAAGAGCCGAUUCUUUGUAGCGAACGAGCAGAGCCGAAUCUUCAGACGCAUGCAGGGGAGCCGGCUCCUCUACGGGAGCCGAGCCAGAAGAACCGAAUCUAUGAAAAGAGCCGGACUGCCAUCACUAAAAUGUAGAGCCGGAGCUUGAGCCGAAAGAGCCGAAUCAAUGGAAAGAGCCGGACUGCCCAUCACUAAUUUGGAUGAACGGCUAUUGCUCGCGGAAAUUUCGCACAUUAAAUACGGCGUGUAUGCAAUGCAUGACAUGCUGCAAACAGGCGAAUGACGCGGUCUAAUGUUUGCGUGUUUAAUUGGAAUAAGGAGUGCGCAAAGUAUACGAGCUUCAUCUGAACUGUCCCUUUCAGUGUUUCCCAUAAACAUCAAUAAUAUAAGGUACCAUUUAUUCAUGUAACAGGUUCUUGCAACGUCCUAUACCUGCUACGGUACUACAACGCAAGUUGCUUAAUGCCUGACAGUUAUUCAUGCAAACUGUUCAUAUCAAAUGCAAAUAUUUACGUUAGAUCUUCACUCACCUGACCCUAAUUACAGACUUUAAGGAUACGGGGAUACGCUAUUUUACGAACUUUAAAUCUCAUGGUAGGACACACCAUUAAUAUAUCAUUGGAGAAUAAAUCCUGGUCAUACAGCGUAAAGUUUUCAAGCACACAUUUUGUUGCUGAGCAAAUCGUAAGUGUGUGUGGUCGAAUGGCAACAGUAAUGCAUAGUGUCAAUUUUAUUGAGCACGGGGUUCAGCAUAAAUGUUUCCAUCUAAAGCUUUGUGCUUUAAGAUCUUCAGUUAGUUAUGCACAUGUAUAAAGUACGAAUGCAUCAACUUUUAAUUGUACUUUUCAAAUGAGACUUUAUUCCAGAUCUCAGUCAACUUCUUAUCCGAGCUCGGUCGCAUUGAACAUCUCAUCUAUUUAUCUGGAUUAUUUUCUCCUAAGGAUUUUUGCACUCUGACAAGAUUGUAGCAGCAAACGCAUUGUGCGGUGAUCAUGCUGAAUUUCUGACACUGUCAGAAAACUAUUGUAGGCUAUCUUGGACGCAAGACCAGGAAAACGUCCGUCUUUGAACUUCUCCCACCAUACGACACUGUACCACCGACGAAGAGCCACGAUCAUAGAAAUCGUGAUGAUUGUUUUACGAUGGAAAUCUUUCUUCUGGGAAAGCCAAAAAUUAUGCAGUUAUAAUUCUAAAUGAUAACUUUACAAGGAACUUUGUCUGGAAUUAGAAGCGUACAAUCUUCUUACUCUGCAUCCUCAAGAAAAUAGCGAAACCUGCAUCAACUUUACAUACAACCACAUUACACCGGCUGCUAGGAUUUAGAACAUCAUAACAGCGCGGCUGCUUACAUGAAGCAAGCUAUUUUUAAACUAUAUACAUGUUUUUACACAGACUAUGGAUAUGCAGUUCUAUAAGUGCUUUAUUUCAGUGCCUGCAUUACCAUCAGGGCUCUUUAUCGACUUCCAGGAACUCUAAUCGCAUACGGCUGCAAGGAUUUGAACAUGCAUAAUUGCUACAUGUACAAGAAUUGGCUUUCGUUAGCACUGGGCCGUGCACACUUGCCGCGUGCACGCAGGUCGUCACGUUUCACGUCCGCAGUCGUGUAUGGUGCGGUCUUCGAUCGUUUCUGGAUUGCCAGCGUGGCGUAGGAUCUUCAUUAAACAAAUAAUUCAGAACUUCUUAAGUGCAUAUCAUGUAAGACUGUUAGCACAAAACUGUCACGUUUAAUCAUGCUAUUAUGGUUAGUCAAAGUUUAAGCUGUAAACUUUCAUCUAGAUGGCUAUUACUUUCGGAGCACGUCCAUCUAUCAACUGCACAACCCUACUGAUACCGCUCCUCAGUUUUUGGGGGUUCUUAAUUUAUAUCGUAAACGGAGAAUUUUAUAUAAUCAUCUGUGUGUCAUGGCGAAGCAAGACAAGGCAACGGAUCCAAAUGCAAUGGUUUAUUUCUUAAAAACCCAAAAGUCCACAAAGCAGAACCAGAAUGAAGACCAGAAUACAGGACCAAAAAGUGAUGACAGCAAACUAUACUCAAGAAAGGACAACUGAAACACAAGGACUGUAUUCAUGUGGGUAAACAAGAUAUCAAGACACACCUGGGAAACAAUCUAGAACAAGGACCAACGAACUACAGACAUGGAUGACAUUAAAGAACUUCAAAUAAAGAGUACAAGACAGGGGAAACGCAAGACACAACAGUGACACCGUGCAAUCUUUAGCAUCAGUCAGAUCGUUUGUAACCUCUAAUCUUCUCCCUACUUUUAUAAUGACAAUAUAAAAGCAUGCAUACAUAAAUUGUCUCUCUUCAUCAGGAGCCGCGCUCCUAAUUUCACCGUAUGCAGGAAAACACUAUGACAUUCAAUUCAAUAAUGGCAAGCAAUAAUCAAGGUAUGUUUAAGCAAACUACUGGUGGUGGUGGUGUAUUUAACCAUGCUAAAUCAUGGCCCUUGCCAUUUAUAUCAUUCCUCACUCUGGCAUAACGUUGCUUUCUGUGGCCUUCGCGGCCUCUCUGCUAUCAAGCCUAACGUGGCAUCCUUCUACGGAUAUCCUCUACUGCUGAUAUUAUGAUUGACAUUUACGGACACGUUAAUGGUAUGUACCUUUUGUCAAUACUGGUGGUGGUGAAUCUUAUUGCAAGCUAACCUGUUGGCUUUUCCUACUGGGCAUAUCGUUGCCUUCCACGGCCUAUGCGGCCUAUCUAACCCUGGCAUAUCUUUGCCCUUCAUGGCCUACACAGCCUCUCUCAACACGGCAUAUCGUUGCCUUCUAUGGCCAUGCGGCCUUUCUCACUCGGCAUAUCGUUGCCUUCUAUGGCCUACGCGGCCUAUCUCUAUCUGGCAUAUCGUUGCCUUCUAUGGCCUACGCGGCCUAUCUCUAUCUGGCAUAUAUCUCUAUCUGGCAUAUCGUUGCCUUCUAUGGCCUACGCGGCCUAUUUCUCUGGCAUAUCGUUGCCUUCCAAAGGCCUACGUGGCCUUUUCUCACUAGGCAUAUCGUUGCUUUCUAUGGCCUACGCGGCCUAUCUCUGUCUGGCAUAUCGUUGCCUUCUAAAGCCUACGCGGCAUUUUCCCAUUAGGCAUAUCGUUGCCUUCUGUGGCCUGUGGGCCUAUCUCUGUCUGGCAUAUCGUUGCCUUCUAAAGCCUAUGUGGCUUUUUCCCACUAGGCAUAUCGUUGCCUUCUACGGCCCAUGCGGCCUAUCUCUCCAGCCUAUCUCUCUCUGGGGCAUAUCGCUGCCUUCUAUGGCCUAAGCGGUAAUCCCAUGGCCUCUUAUGGCAUCCUUCAAUGUCAGUAGAUAACAAUUUCUCUUAUCUGUUUCAGGAACCUCAAAGAAACACUGGUGGGUACCGAUCAUUGCGAUCAAUUUUUGGGGAUUAGAUUCUGGCCCGUCUUCAUCUUCAGACAGGAACCGCAAGAAUCCGUGACCCCCGGAUUUGAACUAUGGUCGGGGCCUACGCCAAAGAACUAUACUGUGUUACAUUCUAACCUUGGUUGCUAACUACUGUUAAAUAAACUCAUAUGUCAAGUCUUAACCUAUCUUCGAGUCUUUCUGGUAGAAAUGGUAGCUUUAGCGUAGCGUAGCGUAAGUUCUACCAGGAAACUCGAAUGUUACGUCAUUCAUGUCACAAGGCGCAAUCAAUCACCCCUGAUACUGAGAGUAUAUAAGCCUCGUACUCACCUGUCUUUGCGUUCGCAGAUACUGAUGCCAGCAUUAACAACCCACCCUCCCUACCACCAUCACCAGGUCGGUUCCGUCCAUACUCAAGGGGGAUUAGAUUCUGGCCCGUCUUCAUCUUCAGACAGGAACCGCAAGAAUCCGUGACCCCCGGAUUUGAACUAUGGUCGGGGCCUACGCCAAAGAACUAUACUGUGUUACAUUCUAACCUUGGUUGCUAACUACUGUUAAAUAAACUCAUAUGUCAAGUCUUAACCUA